CCUACGGGAGGCAGCAGUAGGGAAUCUUCCACAAUGGACGAAAGUCUGAUGGAGCAACGCCGCGUGAGUGAUGAAGGUUUUCGGAUCGUAAAACUCUGUUGUAAGGGAAGAACAGGCAUGAGAGGUAAUGCUCAUGCUAUGACGGUACCUUGCGAGAAAGCCACGGCUAACUACGUGCCAGCAGCCGCGGUAAU
RNAcentral lists this ribosomal RNA (194 nucleotides) under uncultured bacterium. RNAcentral describes it as "partial 16S ribosomal RNA". It matches the Rfam family "Bacterial small subunit ribosomal RNA", at positions 338 to 524 of the family's 1533-position model. The record is from RNAcentral.